Molecule: ribosomal RNA, 497 nt
Filed under: uncultured bacterium
Lineage: Bacteria
Description: partial 16S ribosomal RNA
Rfam family: Bacterial small subunit ribosomal RNA
Source: RNAcentral
GAUGAACGCUGGCGGCGUGCCUAAUACAUGCAAGUCGAGCGAACAGACGAGGAGCUUGCUCCUUUGACGUUAGCGGCGGACGGGUGAGUAACACGUAGGUAACCUACCUAUAAGACUGGGAUAACUUCGGGAAACCGGAGCUAAUACCGGAUAAUAUUUUGAACCGCAUGGUUCGAUAGUUAAAGAUGGCUUUGCUGUCACUUAUAGAUGGACCUGCGCCGCAUUAGCUAGUUGGUAAGGUAACGGCUUACCAAGGCAACGAUGCGUAGCCGACCUGAGAGGGUGAUCGGCCACACUGGAACUGAGACACGGUCCAGACUCCUACGGGAGGCAGCAGUAGGGAAUCUUCCGCAAUGGGCGAAAGCCUGACGGAGCAACGCCGCGUGAGUGAUGAAGGUCUUCGGAUCGUAAAACUCUGUUAUUAGGGAAGAACAAACGUGUAAGUAACUGUGCACGUCUUGACGGUACCUAAUCAGAAAGCCACGGCUAACUACGUG